Molecule: ribosomal RNA, 421 nt
Filed under: uncultured bacterium
Lineage: Bacteria
Description: bacterial SSU rRNA
Rfam family: Bacterial small subunit ribosomal RNA
Source: RNAcentral
CGAAUCAUUCACAAUGGGCGAAAGCCUGAUGGUGCGACGCCGCGUGAGGGAUGAAGGCCUUCGGGUUGUAAACCUCUGUCACCGGGGAAGAAACGCUGCAAGUUAACAGCUUGCAGCCUGACUUAACCCGGCGAGGAAGCAGUGGCUAACUCUGUGCCAGCAGCCGCGGUAAUACAGAGACUGCAAGCGUUAUUCGGAUUCACUGGGCGUAAAGGGUGCGCAGGCGGCCAAGUGUGUGAGGCGUGAAAGCCCGAUGCUCAACAUCGGAAUUGCACCUCAAACUACAUGGCUAGAGCAUUGGGGAGGGUAGCGGAAUUCACGGUGUAGCAGUGAAAUGCGUAGAUAUCGUGAGGAACACCAGAGGCGAAGGCGGCUACCUGGACAAUUGCUGACGCUCAGGCACGAAAGCGUGGGGAGCAAA